UGGGGAAUAUUGCACAAUGGGCGCAAGCCUGAUGCAGCCAUGCCGCGUGUAUGAAGAAGGCCUUCGGGUUGUAAAGUACUUUCAGCGGGGAGGAAGGGAGUAAAGUUAAUACCUUUGCUCAUUGACGUUACCCGCAGAAGAAGCACCGGCUAACUCCGUGCCAGCAGCCGCGGUGAUACGGAGGGUGCAAGCGUUAAUCGGAAUUACUGGGCGUAAAGCGCACGCAGGCGGUUGAUUGAGUCAGAUGUGAAAUCCCCGGGCUUAACCCGGGAAUUGCAUCUGAUACUGGUCAGCUAGAGUCUUGUAGAGGGGGGUAGAAUUCCAUGUGUAGCGGUGAAAUGCGUAGAGAUGUGGAGGAAUACCGGUGGCGAAGGCGGCCCCCUGGACAAAGACUGACGCUCAGGUGCGAAAGCGUGGGGAGCAAACAGG
This 429-nucleotide ribosomal RNA is filed under the name Chloroflexota bacterium. Its description in RNAcentral is "Chloroflexi bacterium partial 16S ribosomal RNA". It matches the Rfam family "Bacterial small subunit ribosomal RNA", at positions 355 to 776 of the family's 1533-position model. Lineage: Bacteria; Bacillati; Chloroflexota. The record is from RNAcentral.